RNAcentral lists this ribosomal RNA (492 nucleotides) under uncultured bacterium. RNAcentral describes it as "partial 16S ribosomal RNA". It matches the Rfam family "Bacterial small subunit ribosomal RNA", at positions 29 to 507 of the family's 1533-position model. The record is from RNAcentral.
AGUGAACGCUGGCGGUAGGCCUAACACAUGCAAGUCGAACGGCAGCACAGUAAGAGCUUGCUCUUACGGGUGGCGAGUGGCGGACGGGUGAGGAAUACAUCGGAAUCUACUUUUUCGUGGGGGAUAACGUAGGGAAACUUACGCUAAUACCGCAUACGACCUACGGGUGAAAGCAGGGGAUCUUCGGACCUUGCGCGAUUGAAUGAGCCGAUGUCGGAUUAGCUAGUUGGCGGGGUAAAGGCCCACCAAGGCGACGAUGCAUAGCCGGCCUGAGAGGGUGAUCAGCCACACUGGAACUGAGACACGGUCCAGACUCCUACGGGAGGCAGCAGUGGGGAAUAUUGGACAAUGGGCGCAAGCCUGAUCCAGCCAUACCGCGUGGGUGAAGAAGGCCUUCGGGUUGUAAAGCCCUUUUGUUGGGAAAGAAAAGCAGCAGGUUAAUACCCCGCUGUUCUGACGGUACCCAAAGAAUAAGCACCGGCUAACUUCGUG